Molecule: ribosomal RNA, 463 nt
Filed under: uncultured bacterium
Lineage: Bacteria
Description: partial 16S ribosomal RNA
Rfam family: Bacterial small subunit ribosomal RNA
Source: RNAcentral
UGGGGAAUUUUGGACAAUGGGCGAAAGCCUGAUCCAGCAAUGCCGCGUGUGUGAAGAAGGCCUUCGGGUUGUAAAGCACUUUUGUCCGGAAAGAAAUCCUUGGGCUCUAAUACAGUCGGGGGAUGACGGUACCGGAAGAAUAAGCACCGGCUAACUACGUGCCAGCAGCCGCGGUAAUACGUAGGGUGCAAGCGUUAAUCGGAAUUACUGGGCGUAAAAGCGUGCGCAGGCGGUUUGCUAAGACCGAUGUGAAAUCCCCGGGCUCAACCUGGGAACUGCAUUGGUGACUGGCAGGCUAGAGUAUGGCAGAGGGGGGUAGAAUUCCACGUGUGAGCAGUGAAAUGCGUAGAGAUGUGGAGGAAUACCGAUGGCGAAGGCAGCCCCCUGGGCCAAAUACUGACGCUCAUGCACGAAAAGCGUGGGGGAGCAAAACAGGAUUAGAUACCCUGGUAGUCCACGCCCU